Molecule: ribosomal RNA, 529 nt
Filed under: uncultured bacterium
Lineage: Bacteria
Description: partial 16S ribosomal RNA
Rfam family: Bacterial small subunit ribosomal RNA
Source: RNAcentral
GACGUAGGGGGCGAGCGUUGUCCGGAAUUACUGGGCGUAAAGGGCGUGUAGGCGGCCUUUCAAGUCGGCUGUGAAAUACCCCGGCUCAACCGGGGGGGUGCAGUCGAAACUGGGGGGCUUGAGUGCAGGAGAGGGGGGUGGAAUUCCCGGUGGAGCGGUGAUAUGCGUAGAUAUCGGGAGGAACACCGGUGGCGAAGGCGACCUUCUGGCCUGUUACUGACGCUGAGGCGCGAAAGCCGGGGGAGCAAACAGGAUUAGAUACCCUGGUAGUCCCGGCCGUAAACGCUGGGUACUAGGUGUAGGGGGCUUUGAUGCCUUCUGUGCCGUAGUUAACGCAUUAAGUACCCCGCCUGGGGAGUACGAUCGCAAGGUUGAAACUCAAAGGAAUUGACGGGGGCCCGCACAAGCGGUGGAGCAUGUGGUUUAAUUCGAUGCAACGCGAAGAACCUUACCAGGGCUUGACAUCUGCCUGACGGUCUGUGGAAACAUGGGCUUUCCUUCGGGACAGGUGGACAGGUGGUGCAUGGCU